RNAcentral lists this ribosomal RNA (253 nucleotides) under uncultured bacterium. RNAcentral's name for it is "partial 16S ribosomal RNA". It matches the Rfam family "Bacterial small subunit ribosomal RNA", at positions 524 to 776 of the family's 1533-position model. The record is from RNAcentral.
UACGUAGGGUGCGAGCGUUGUCCGGAAUUACUGGGCGUAAAGAGCUCGUAGGUGGUUUGUCGCGUUGUUCGUGAAAACUCACAACUCAAUUGUGGGCGUGCGGGCGAUACGGGCAGACUGGAGUACUGCAGGGGAGACUGGAAUUCCUGGUGUAGCGGUGGAAUGCGCAGAUAUCAGGAGGAACACCGGUGGCGAAGGCGGGUCUCUGGGCAGUAACUGACGCUGAGGCGCGAAAGCCAGGGGAGCAAACGGG